Cynoglossus semilaevis (tongue sole) is the source of this 1065-nucleotide long non-coding RNA. RefSeq lists it as uncharacterized. The record is from RefSeq and is a predicted model, not a curated record. The transcript is spliced from 4 exons. Lineage: Eukaryota; Metazoa; Chordata; Actinopteri; Pleuronectiformes; Cynoglossidae.
GUAGGACAGAGAAACACGCCCGUUUCAACACUAACUGCUAAAUACGGAAACAGAGGGAAAGUCGAGGAGGAGGAGUUGAAGGAGGUGACGGUCGCCUGAGAUACAGCGUCCGUCGCAGAAAGCAUGUUUAAAGCUCAGAAGAAAGUCUCCAGCGACAGAGAGAGAGAGAGAGAGAGACAUCCAGACGGAACAAGACAAAAGAUUCUAAACGUCUUGGUGGACUGAACCAAAACACACGAAGAAACCUCCGUCCGCAGCAGCACAAAGAAAAGGCCCGUGAGGAAAUCAGCAGGAGACUUGGACAUGUGCAACAGUGGAGUCUUUUGGUGAGUUCCAUUCAGGAAGUGUACAAAUACAUAAAUAUCCCACAGAGUUCCAGACGUGUUCCUACAGGAUGCUGAUGCUGGAACUUUCAUCCACCUUCUACUGUAGGAUCAACAAACGCCUGAAGUCAAACAAUUGUUUUGACAUGGAACACAAAGACACAGUACGUUUUCUAAUUUAGAAAUCACACACAAGGUUAGCAUGUUAUCGACAUAAAUAGUCACUGCUGGGUGAAAGGCAACCUUCUGAUAUCAUGUUUUUAAUUUUCCAUAUUUACCUGUUUCCUUGAGUUGGUCUUUCACACAGAUCUCAGUUGACACCGUUGACCUACCUCACCCUGUGGUUUUUUUUGUGGUGUAAUCCAUCACUAACCACUGAACCAACUGUAAGGUCUCAUUGACUGAAAUCACACAGAAAGACUGUAUUUGUACAUCUAUGAAGGUGUGGUUUACCAUGAAAUAUUUCUCUGACUCCAUUGUUCUAAACCUGAACUUUUGACCCACGAUAAUGAAAAGGCCAUAAGUUUAAAAGCAGAUGUUGAAAUGUAUUAUAUUUAUAUUCAACAUUGAAUUGUUAUACUUGGUUGGAUUUUUUUCAAAAUAAAAAAUUCAUGAUUAAUCUAUUUUGAAAUCAGAGCAAACAUCAGCAUUAAACCAACUUAAAUUCAAAUAAAUAAAGAUUUUCUUUCACAAUGUGUCUUGUUAAACUUUUUACAUCCUCCAAAAUAUUUUUGGACUUUUA